UUGACGCAGAGUCUGAGUCUCUCGGGAAAUGCGUAGGCUACGCCGGGGUAAUGGGGUAUUAUACCGUUCAUGAAUAAAGAAUAGCUUCCUUAGGUGACGGUAGAAAGAAUAGGACGUGCGGAAGGAAUUAUGUGGGUACAUAGACGUUUUCCGUUAUGUGUUGUUUAUACUGGGGUAGACGACGACGUCUCGCGUUCGAGUAGAGAGGGUAUCUUAGAGAACGAUUAUGUGUUCCAUUCAUAAUUGACGGACGGACGGAACCGACCCGACCAUACUCAUUUUCGAGAGCUAUAAGGUCUACAGUUUUCUAAAAUAGGGAGACCGCGUCCACGAGAGUGCGUCGUUUGUUUUUAGUUAAAUUUAGCGCCACAUGCGGCAAUUGUGAAAGGAUUAAUGAGGGAAGCAGGGUUUUAAGAACAGAAUCUAAACAGAUUUAUGCCUACAUAGUUUAGUGCAAAAUCAUAAUCUAUAUAGGCAUAUAUCUGCUUAGAUUCUGUUCUUAAAACCCUGCCUCCCUCAUUAAAAAAUCGGUUAGAAAGGAUUAAUUAAUUAGUAAUAGUAAACGGUUUCAAACGACGUUCGGACGCUUAUAUAUAUAGGGAGCCGUGGAUCGACGAGAAAGGCUUCGUGGCCUGGCUUGUUUCCGUCUGUGAGCAUAAACAAAUUCCAACCACGGCCCGCUCCAGCUAUCUCCGCCUCUUCUUCCGCCGGUACCUCCUCCGCUCUCCCUUCGUCUGCUGCCUCCCCCACCGGCGGCUACACUCGGACUUCCUAGACAGGUCCUCCGAGCUGCUGAAGCGGUUCCUCUCCCUGACCCUCGUCGUGGUGUCGGGUUCCUUGGAAGACGAGCGGUACCAGCCGCUCCAGCCCCUCGAUAGCCUCGACAAGUACACCUUUCCCCUCCACGUCUUCCCGAACGGCCCGACCCUCCUCUCCCUCUUCCUCGUGGAGGCGCUCCUCGAGAGGCUGCACGACGAGAUGGAGUAGGCCGAGAGACUGUACACGCCGCAGCUGGAGCCGCUGCGGCGGGACUUCUUCUAGCACUUCUUGCGGCAGUUCAUGGGCCGCGGCAGUUUCUCGCGGACUACUCGUUUGCGGAUUAUACUAGACGUCUCCGCAACAGAUGAAAAAAUCGUCAAACUACUUUUUCACUUCAACGCCGUUUGAACAGCAGCCAACCUAGUUCAAUUUAACACUAUCAAAGUAAAAACACCGCAUGCGCUCUGUUAUGUUCAAUGAUGGGACUUAAACGCGACCAGACACACCAAAAUAACGGACCCAUCUUACGGGCUUCGGACUUCACCAACGCCCCUUCUAUAUCAAUCCCGCACAAACCAACGGGCGUAGCUCGGGUUGGUCUGAGUACGCUACGUUGUAGAAAAACCUCUACCCGACAAACCAACGUGCGUAUAUAACAGCCCGGACGUAUCGUGCCAAGAAUUUCGUAGAGACCCAGACCGAGUAACUUUUGCAGACUUAGCUAUCAAAGAACGCCCGGUCCGGGCUCGCUACGAGAGCUCGCGUGCACCCACCGAACCGAGCAUGAGGGAGG
RNAcentral lists this ribosomal RNA (1552 nucleotides) under Triticum aestivum (bread wheat). Its description in RNAcentral is "partial small subunit ribosomal RNA". Lineage: Eukaryota; Viridiplantae; Streptophyta; Magnoliopsida; Poales; Poaceae. The record is from RNAcentral.